AAUGGCCCGCCCCGGGGGUCACAUGGUUCAUAUAGACUUAUAUAGGGAAAAGCUUUUAAAAUGUUCUUGUCAAUAACUAAAACAUUCAAAUUUGGACCACAUGUAUAUUUUUGAGUGGCAAGAUGAACCUUGACACAAGUUGACUUUGAUUUUGACCUAGUGACCUACUUUCACAUUUCUGUAGCUACAGCCUUAAAAUUUGGACCACUUGUAUAUUUUUGAGUGGCAAGAUGAACCUUGACAUGAGUUGACCUUGAUUUUGACCUAGUGACCUACUUUCACAUUUCUGUAGCUACAGCCUUCAAAUUUGGCCACAUGCAUAGUUUUGUGCACUGGAAAAAACUUUGACCUUGAUUUUGACCUAGUGACCUACUUUCACAUUUUUGAAGGUACAGGCGUCAAAUUUGGACCAUAUGCAUAGUUCCGUGUUUCAAAAUGAAAUUUGACAUUGAUUUUGCCCUAGUGACCUACUUUCACAUUUCUCAAGCUACAGCCUUCAAAUUUGGACCACUUGCAUAGUUUUGUGUGCCGAAAAAAACUUUGCCCUUCACAUUGACCUAGUGACCUACUUUCACAUUUUUAAGGUACAGGCUUCAAAUUUGGACCACAUGCAUAGUUUUGUAUUCCGAAAUAAAAUUUGACCAUGAUUUUGACCUAGUGACCUACUUUUACAUUGCUCAAGCUACAGCCUUCAAAUCUGGACCACUUGCAUAGUUUUGUGUACCGAAAUGAACUUUGACCUUUACAUUGACCUAGUGACCUACUUUUACAUUUUUAAGGUACAGGCUUCAGAUUUGGACCACAUGCAUAGUUUUGUAUUCUGAAAUAAAAUUUGACCUUGAUUUUGACCUAGUGACCUACUUUUACAUUUCUCAAGCUACAGCCUUCAAAUUUGGACCACUUGCAUAGUUUUGUGUACCGAAAUGAAUGUUGACCUUUACAUUGACCUAGUGACCUACUUUCACAUUUUUAAGGUACAGGCUUCAAAUUUGGAACACAUGCAUAGUUUUGUAUUCUGAAAUAAAAUUUGACCUUGAUUUUGACCUAGUGACCUACUUUUACAUUUCUCAAGCUAUAGCCUUCAAAUUUGGACCACAUGCAUAGUUUUGUGUACCGAAAUGUACUUUGACCUUUACAUUGACCUAGUGAUCUACUUUCACAUUUUUGAAGGUACAGGCUUCAAAUUUGGACCACAUGCAUAGUUUUGUUUUCCGAAAUAGAAUUUGACCUUGAUUUUGACCUAGUGACCUACUUUUACAUUUCUCAAGCUACAGCCUUCAAAUUUGGACCACUUGCAUAGUUUUGUGUACCGAAAUGAACUUUGACCUUAAGAUUGACCUAGUGAACUACUUUCACAUUUCUGUAGCUAUAGGCUUCAAAUUUAGACCACAUGCAUAGGAUUGUGUACUGAAACAAACUUUGACCUUGACAUUGACCUAGUGACCUACUUUCACAUUUCUCAAGCUACAGCUUUUGAAUUUGGACCACAUGCACAGUGUUGUGUACGGAAAUGAAACUUUGACCUCGAGGUAGUCAAUAAGUCUUGAAAUUUGGAACACUCAAAAAUGGCACAUUGGUGGGCGCCAAGAUCACUCUGUGAUCUCUUGUACUUUUUUACUAAAUUAUGCCCCUUUUUCGACUUUCUUAUUCAUUCAAGCGACAAGGCUGUUAAAUAGUCGAGCGUUGCUGUCCUCAGACAGUUCUUGUUUAUGAUAAACCAAAAUUUGUAGUCCUGUUUGGCACCAUAUAACCUAUACUGUGUUGGUGCGCCGUAAAACCUAAAAAAAUAAAUGAAUUACAGAUUACGGGCCUCGCAGCAAAAUUGUAAGCCCGUAGCCUAUAGACAUGUCGCAUGUGGCAUUGCACAAUCACCCCACAGGCAUUGUUAGGAGGCCGCGUACUGAUAAUGUAGCCAACGCACGAUUUUCCAUGGACAUGGUGCCCAAAAGAAAUCGUAGACUGAUAGAUGCUUACCCGGCUGAGAAAAUUCCAGAGUUUUCCAUGGAAUGUCUAUGAAUUUCCACGGAAGUCCAGACUCCGAAAUAUUCUGACAAACUUUCCAGAGUUGGAUAUGGAAUACUGCGGAAAACUGUGGAAAAAUGUCCAGGGAUUUCCAGAGUACUUUCCAUUGACAAUUUUGCGGAGUGAUCCCACGGACGUCUGUGAACAAUUUUUCGAAGUUAUUCCAUGAACAUCAGUGGACAAUUUUCCGGAAUGGUCCAGGAAGAUGUACUGACAGUAUUAUUCAAUAGCAAAACGUGAUUAAUUACACUUUUUUGCGAUUGAGCAAUAACACUUUAGUACAAGCAAUAUAAUUUUAUUGCAUGUGAUCACUUUUGCAGUUUCAAACAUUAUGUGAUUAUAUGAACAAGGAGAAUGAAUCUUUGCCAGUUAAAAGUGACUGAUUAGAAUAUUUUUAAGCAUAUACAUACUUGUGAACAAAGAUAAGUUACACUAAAAUAAUGAUGAAAUCAUUCAAAGAAAGUAUCUAAAGUCAUCUGUUCUAAAUCUGCAUAUUAUUUAUAAAAUCUUUGUGAAGCUUUUAGUUACUUUAGCAUUCUAAGAAAAUUCUUCUUUGUAGGACCAGUUGAUCUAAUUGGCUGAACUUGAUCACAUGGUAUUCCCAGUCUGAUGCUAAUUGUUUUCUGAUGUGUUUAAAAUCCCUCAGAAAAUUUUCUAAGUGCUACAUUUCCGCAGUGUCCGUGAACAUUCCAUGAACAUGUUGAAAGAUGUCCAGAGUAAUUUCCAGAGAUGUCCAUGGAAAAUAUUUGCAAUCACUCUGGACAUGUUAUAUAACAGGUGACUUUUUCCAUACUUUUCAUGGAAGUUUUGCAUUUGUCCACAGUUUUUCCACAGUCACUCUGGAAUAUGCACAGCCGGGUACAUACCUGACUAAAUACCAAUUGUACUGUUGUAAGUUUAAGGCAACUGAUGUUUGCUUACAUAUCUGACAAAUACACAAUGUAUUAAAGGCAGCUCAUAACUGCUUAUAUACACUGGACAAAGACGCACUGUACUGUAAUGAAUUAAGGCAGCUCAUAACUGCUUUUAUACACUGGACAAAGACCACUGUACUGUAAUGAAUUAAAGGUGACUCAUAACUGCUUAUAUACACUGGUUAAAGACGCACUGAACUGUAAUGAACUAAAGGUGACUCAUAACUGCUUAUAUACACUGGACAAAGACACACUGAACUCUAAUGAAUUAAAGGUGACUCAUAACUGCUUAUAUACACUGGACAAAGACACACUGAACUCUAAUGAAUUAAAGGUGACUCAUAACUGCUUAUAUACGCUGGACAAAGAUGCACUGAACUGUAAUGAAUUAAAGGUGACACAUAUUUAUACAUUGACAUAUUGAUUGCUAAUAUACCUGCACAAAUUACACUAUUGUAUUAAGUUUAAGGUGACUCCUAAUUGCUUUAUAUCAGGGCAAAUUACACACUUUACUGUAGUAAGUUAAUGACUGUUUUAUAUGAGUACCAGGACAAAUUACACACUUUACUGUAGUAAGUUAAUGAGGACUACCGUAUAUGUGUACCUGGACAAAUUACACACUUCUGUAGUAAGUUAUGACGACUAUACCUGGACAAUUAACACACUCUACUGUAGUAGAAUAAUGGGGACUUGCUUUUAUACCUGGACAAAUUACACACUCUACUGUAGUAGGAUAAUGGCGACUUGCUUUUAUACCUGGACAAAUACACACUCUACUGUAUUAGGAUAAUGGUGACUUGCUUUUAUACCUGGACAAAUUACAAGCUCUACUGUAGUAGAAUAAUGGGGACUUGCUUUUAUACCUGGACAAAUUACACACUCUACUGUAGUAGGAUAAUGGCGACUUGCUUUUAUACCUGGACAAAUUACACACUCUACUGUAGUAGGAUAAUGGCAACUUGCUUUUAUACCUGGACAAAUACACACUCUACUGUAGUAGGAUAAUGGCGACUUGCUUUUAUACCUGGACAAAUUACAAGCUCUACUGUAUUAAGUAAAUGACUCAGACUUGCUUGUAUACCUGGACUUCUACACAAUAUAAUGUAAUAAGUUAAGGACAACUCCAACUUGGUUAUAUACCUGGACAAAUAGUGCUGAUAUAUAUUCCCACAUAAUUUAAAGCUUCAGUUGCAAUAUCAGGAGGGGACCUUUUUUCAAAUGAACUGUUUAAUUUUGAAUGAUUUGGAGAUUUAGUCCAUUAAGGUAGUUCUGCACGUUCAGAUCAAUUUUUUUUCUGCAAUAUAGAAUUUGAUUAAACUCUUAAGAUUAUAAAUAAACAUAAUGGCCUAUAAUAUGGUGAAAUAAAAUGUAUAGGUCUGUGUGUUUAUUUUUGAGAUAUUUGACCAUGAUUAAAAUGAACCGUUCAAUUCAGGAAUUAUUUUGAAUUAAUGUGUCAGAUGUUUUAAUAUCAAAUUUUAACACUGCCAUAAUGAUUGUAAUAAAUUUACUCACUUAUAUUGAUUUACUCCAGUCUGUGUGUGUGUCUGUCUGUGUGUGUGUGUGUCUGUCACAAGUUUGUCCGCACCCUAAGUCGUACAUUUCUCCGAUUUUCGCCAAACUUAAACAAAAUGUGUUCGACCAUAAGACCUCGGCCAAGUUCGAUAACUAGCCAAAUCGGUCUAGGCGUAUUUGAGUUAUGGCCCUUGAAUUACUAAAAAUCGGCCUUUUUACUCUUGUCCACACUGAGUUGAACAUUUCUCAUCCAAUCUUCACCAAACUUGAACAAAAUGUGUUUGACCAUGAGACCUCGGUAAAGUUCGAUAACUAGCCAAAUCAGUCCAGGCAUUUUGGAGUUACGGCCCUUGAAUUACUGAAAAAUCGGCCUUUUUACUCUUGUCCGCACUCUAAGUGGAACAUUUCUCAAUCCGAUCUUCACCAAACUUGAGUAAAAUGUGUUUGACCAUAAGACCUCAGACAAGUUCAAUAAUGAGCCAUAUCGGUUAAGGCAUUUUGGAGUUCUGGCCCUUGAAUUGUAGUGAGUAAACAGUAUAUAAAGACUGACUUGCUAUUUAGAUGAUUAGGCAGUUGUGGGAGACAUUCGCUUUUCUCAAAAGCAUCUCUAGUUCAUAAAAUGAUUUUUAUUUCUGUAUGCUGAAUCCAGGCCUGAUUCUACGUUUUCUGGAUAAAUGAUGUUAUGCCAUCACUUCUGUUAAUCAAACGUGCAGAACUACUUUAAUUGUCAAAGAAAGGGCAUUAAUGAUCAUUAAAUUGUAAAGGAGAGAUGUAUAAUAAAGAAAAUAAAAAAGAAUGUGUGUUACUUGUAUAAAACUGAACACUGUUUAUGUAGAUAUGAUAAAUUGUGUAUAGUAGAAUAAGGUUGUAGAAAUUGAGAUACUUGUUAAGUUUUUGUUGUGUUUAAUAUAUCAUUGGGUUUCAUAUUUUAAUUUUACUUAAUAUUCAGACUAUUGUGGUGUUAUAGAACUUUGUUAUUAUAUUAAUUUAUGUUGAGUGUAAUUCUCUAUUGCAAAUGAUGAAAUUUUUCCUGUGGAAAAACAACAACUUGAUUUACAGAGAGUUGGGGCCCAGUUGUUUGAAACUUUAACAGACUGUUAAACUAAUUGCCUGUUAAAUUUUGAUUCAAAAUUCUAAUGUUAUAGUAGCAAACACUAGUACGGUGUUUUAAUUUUACUGCAGAGACAUUUUUAGCUCACCUGUCACAUAGUGACAAGGUGAGCUUUUGUGAUCACGCAGCGUCCGUCGUCCGUGCGUACGUCCGUCCGUCCGUCCGUAAACUUUUGCUUGUGACCACUCUAGAGGUCACAUUUUUUGUGGGAUCUUUAUGAAAAUUGGUCAGAAUGUUCAUCUUGAUGAUAUCUAGGUCAAGUUCGAAAUUGGGUCACGUGCCAUCAAAAACUAGGUCAGUAGCUCUAAAAAUAGAAAAACCUUGUGACCUCUCUAGAGGCCAUAUAUUUCACAAGAUCUUCAUGAAAAUAGGUCAGAACGUUCACCUUGAUGAUAUCUAGGUCAAGUUCGAAACUGGGUCACGUGCCUUCAAAAACUAGGUCAGUAGGUCUAAAAAUAGAAAAACUUUGUGACCUCUCUAGAGGCCAUAUAUUCCACAAGAUCUUCAUGAAAAUAGGUCAGAACGUUCACCUUGAUGAUAUCUAGAUCAGGUUUGAAAUUGGGUCACGUGCCGCCAAAAACUAGGUCAGUAGGUCAAAUAAUAGAAAAACCUUGUGACCUCUCUAGAGGCCAUAUUUUUCAUGGGAUCUGUAUGAAAGUUGGUCUGAAUGUUCAUCUUGAUGAUAUCUAGGUCAAGUUCGAAAAUGGGUCAUGUGCCGUCAAAAACUAGGUCAGUAGGUCAAAUAAUAGAAAAACCUUGUGACCUCUCUAAAGACCAUAUUUUUCAUGGGAUCUGUAUGAAAGUUGGUCUGAAUGUUCAUCUUGAUGAUAUCUAGGUCAAGUUCGAAACAGGGUCGUGUGCGGUCAAAAACUAGGUCAGUAGGUCUAAAAAUAGAAAAACCUUGUGACCUCUCUAGAGGCCAUACUUGUGAAUGGAUUUCCAUAAAAAUUGGUCAGAAUGUUCAUCUUGAUGAUAUCUAGGUCAAGUUUGAAACUGGGUCACGUGCCUUCAAAAAGUAGGUCAGUAGGUCAAAUAAUGAAAAAAUGUUGUGACCUCUCUAGAGGCCAUAUUUUUCAUGGGAUCUGUAUGAAAGUUGGUCUGAAUGUUUAUCUUGAUGAUAUAUAGGUCAAGUUUGAAACUGGGUCAACUGCGAUCAAAAACUAUAUCAGUAGGUCUUGAAAUAGGAAAACCUUGUGACCUCUCUAGAGGCCAUACCCUUGAAUUGAUCUUCAUGAAAAUUGGUCAGAAUGUUCACCUUGAUGAUAUCUAGGUCAAGUUUGAAACUGGGUCACGUGCCUUAAAAAACUAGGUCAUUGGGUCAAAUAAUAAAAAAACCUUGUGACCUCUCUAGAGGCCAUACUUUUCAUGGAAUCUGUAUGAAAGUUGGUCUGAAUGUUCAUCUUGAUGAUAUCUAGGUCAAGUUUGAAACUGGGUCAUCUGCGGUCAAAAACUAGGUCGGUAGGUCUUAAAUUUUUUUAAAUCUUUUGACCUCUCUAGAGGCCAUAUUUUUCAAUGGAUCUUCAUGAAAAUUAAUCUGAAUGUUCACCUUGAUGAUAUCUAGGUCAGUAUCGAAACUGGGUCACAUGCGGUCAAAAACUAGGCCAGUAGGUAUAAAAAUAGAUAAACCUUGUGACCUCUCUAGAGGCCAUAUUUUUCACGAGAUCUUCAUGAAAAUUAGCGAGAAUGUUCACCUUGAUGAUAUCUAGGUCAAGUUCGAAACAGGGUCACGUACCUUUGAAAACUAGGUCAAUAGGUCAAAUAAUAGAAAAACCUUGUGACCUCUCUAGAGACCAUAUUUUUCAACGGAUUUUCAUGAAAAUUGGUCAGAAUUUUUAUCUUGAUAAUAUCUAGGUCAAGUUCAAAAUUGGGUCACAUGAGCUCAAAAACUAGGUCACUAUGUCAAAUAAUAGAAAAAAACGACGUCAUACUCAAAACUGGGUCAUGUGGGAAGAGGUGAGCGAUUCAGGACCAUCAUGGUCCUCUUGUUUGUGUUCAUGAUAACUCAUAAAUUUGCUUUUCUAAGUUUUCUAAACAGUCUGAAUAUAAUCCUAAAAGUAAAUUGACCAUUAGCUUAAUUGCCUGUUAAAGUUUUGAACAACUGGACCCUGGGCUUAAAAUUUAAGCUUUAAAAUGUAUAAUUUUUAAUUCCCCCCUUCAAAGAAGGAGGGGUAUAUUGUUAUGCAGAUGUCUGUCUGUCGGUCGGUAGGUAGACCAAUCUGUUUCAGGAUGAUAACUCAAGAACGCUGUGGCCUAGGAUCAUGAAAGUUGAUAGGGAGGUUGGCCAUACCCAGCAGAUGACCCCUAUUGAUUUUGAGAUCAGUAGGUCAAGGUCACAGUGACCCGGAACAGUUAAAUGGUUUCCAGAUGAUAACUCAAGAAUGCUUGGGCCUAGGUUCAUGAAUGUUGAUAGGGAGGUUGGUCAUGACCAGCAGAUGACCCCUAUUGAUUUUGAUGCCAGUAGGUCAAAGGUCAAGGCCAGUUUGACCUGGAAGAAUUGGACCAUUUCAGGACGAUUACUUGAGAACGCAUGGGCCUAGGAUCACGAAACUUGAUAGGAAAAGUGAUCAUGAUCGGCAGAUUACCCCUAAUGAUUUUGAUGCCAGUAGCUCAAAGGUCAAGGCCACAUUAACCUGGAACAAUUAAACCAUUUCAGGAUGAUAACUUGAGAACGCAUGGGCCUAGGAUCAUGAAACUUGAUAGGAAAGUUGAUUGUGAUCAGCAGAUAACCCCUAUUGAUACUUACUUCAGUUGAUCAAAGGUCAAGAUCACAGUGACCCAGAACAGUUGAACGGUUUCUGGAUGAGCGCUUGGGCCUAGGAUCAUGAAAGGGAGGUUGGUUAUGACCAGCAGAUGACCCCUGUUGAUUUUGAGUUGAGUAGGCCAAAGGUCAAGGUAACAUUGACCCAGAAUAGUUAUACACUUUCCAGAUGAUAACUUGAGAACGCGUGGGCCUAGGAUCACGAAACUUCAUAGGGAGGUAGAUCUUGAUCAACAGAUGACCCCUAUUGAUUUUGAGGUCAAUAGGUCAAAGGUCAAGGCCACAUUGACCCAGAACAAUAGAACUUUUUGUGUACAGUGACCAAAUAAGUUCUGUUUCUUGUGCUAUUACUGAAUACAUCAAGGGGGGCAUUUCAUGUUCAACAAGCUCUUGUUUUAAUUUGACUUGCAUUUUAAUCAGAAAUUUCAAUCUUACAAAUGACAAAGCAAAAAUUCAAAAAGAUCAACUCACCUAAACCAAAGCUGUCUCAGUGAAAUGUCCUCAUUACUUAAAUGAGUCUGCUUCCACAGGGGCAACAAGUCAGGUUUUGGGUUGUCAGAGGAGCAAAAAGUAAAGUCAAGGGCUGUCAAAGGAGCAUAUUGUGAGAUCAAUUACUGUCACAGGAGCAAUCAAGUAAGGUCAAAGGCUACUAUUGGGGCAGUAAAGUCAGAUCUUAGGCUGUCACUGGGGCAAUAAAUUCAGGUCUAAGGCUACUAUUGGGACAGUAAAAUCAGAUCUUAGGCUGUCAAUGGGGCAAAGAAGUCAGGUCUUAGCCUGACAUUGGGGCAGUAAAGUCAAAUCUUAGGCUGUCACAGGGGCAAUGAAGUCUGCAUUUGAGCUGUCACUGGGGCAAUGAAGUCUGCUUUUGAGCUGUCAGUAGGGCAAUGAAGUCAGGUCUUGGGCUGUCAUUGGGGCAGUAAAGUCAAAUCUUAGGCUGUCACUAGGGCAAUGAAGUCAGUUUUUGAGCUGUCGGUGGGGCAAUGAAGUCCGGUCUUGGGCUGUCUUUGAAGUCAGAUAUUGGGGCAGUAAAGUAAGGUCUAAGGCUACUAUUGGGACAGCAAAGUCAGAUCUUAGGCUGUCACUGGGGCAGUGAAGUCAGCUUUUGAGCUGUCAGUAGGGCAAUGAAGUCAGGUCUUGGGCUGUCAUUGGAGCAGUGAAGUCAGAUCUUAAGCUGUCACUGGAGCAAUGAAGUCUGGGUCUAAGGCUGCUAUUGGGACAGUAAAGUCAGAUCUUAGGCUGUCACUGGGGCAAUGAAGUCAAGUCUUGGGCUGUUACUGGGGCAAUGAAGUCAGGUCUUGGGCAGUUACCGGGGCAAUGAAGUCAGGUCUUGAACUGUUACUGGGGCAGUGAAGUCAGGUCUUGUGCUGUUACUGGGGCAAUGAAGUCAGGUCUUGGGCUGUUACUGGGGCAAUGAAGGUCCUGCAAUGAUUUUUCUAACCACAUGCAAGAGCUAAAUAUAAAAAUACCUUUAAAACACUUAUUUUCAGAUGAUAACCAAACUUUGCUAGAUCUUCACAAAACUUGGCCUGCAGCACCUCUGUCAAAUUAUAUAAAUAAGUCGGCUUGGCCUUUUUUGAGGCCACCAAGACAAAAAUGGUUCCACUUGGCCCAGUCCAUGAACCACCAGAGCUAAAAAUAGAAACAACCCUUUAAACAACUACUUCUCAUGAAGUAUUUGAUUGAUCUUCAUCAAACUUGGUCUUUGCAUUCUUGUAUGGACCUUUUUCAAGUUUAUUAACAUGGUUCUGGUUGGCCCCUUUUGGGAUCUGCCAGAGCUAAAGAUAUAUUUGUAUAUUUGGAACUCUUGUAUGCAAUGCAGGGCUCUGUCAUGGCUCUUUUGUCUUUUUUUAGCCAGAAAUGACUAGACUUCUGAAACAAAAGAUCUGCAGGAUCUUGAAUAUCAAUGAAAGUAGUUCAGGCAAAGAUGAAAUAGAGAAUCUGAGUUGAAGCAAGUACAUUUAAUGUGUUAUAUUUUCAGUCCCUUUAUUUAUUAGUGAAGUAAAGGCUGUAUUGUUUAUAGAACAUUUAUAUGUAAAAACUAUUAUCAGUGCUGUAUAAUGACUGUUACCUGCUUUUAGAGGAGUGUAACAGUUCACUACUGUAAAUAUUGUUCAUUUCCAGUCACUAUAUUUAGAUGGUCUAUGUUGGAGGGAAGGCACUGCCUUUUUAGAUAAAUUCAUCAGUAAGAAAUUGUUUUGUAAUGAAUGUACAUGUUGCACAGUUGAUUUCUGGGAUAGCUUUAAUGAUUGGUUGAUGGAAGCUCUAUUAUUAAAGUAUUUGUUAUCGCUUAAUUGUUCAUAUUGUUAUGUUAUUGAAUGUUUUAACAUAUUGUUGCAUAAUGUGUACAUUGAAUGUACUGAUUAUAUUGAAAGAAAAAAAUCAGUGUGUAAAACAAAGAAAAUAAAUAUUAUAAAAGAAAA
This is a long non-coding RNA of Mercenaria mercenaria, 10737 nucleotides long. RefSeq lists it as uncharacterized. The transcript is spliced from 2 exons. Lineage: Eukaryota; Metazoa; Mollusca; Bivalvia; Venerida; Veneridae. The record is from RefSeq and is a predicted model, not a curated record.